This is a long non-coding RNA of Lates calcarifer (barramundi perch), 488 nucleotides long. RefSeq lists it as uncharacterized. Lineage: Eukaryota; Metazoa; Chordata; Actinopteri; Centropomidae. The transcript has 4 exons. The record is from RefSeq and is a predicted model, not a curated record.
CAAACUAAUAAGUAGGCUCAUGGCCAGCAGGUGUGGAGACUGGAGGCUGCCCUGUACUCAGGCUGUGAUGUUUUGUGUGCUCUCUCCAUGAGACUGCUUUGUACACUUGUGGCCCUGGCUGCUGACAUCCCUCCAAGACAGCGCUCGACAAUCAUUCAAGGUACAAGCCAGCGGCCUGCGAGCACUCUCCAGCAGCUCAUGGGGGUUUGAGUGUGCUUUCAACAAGGAAGUUACAUAGUAUAAAUCGCAGCUAAGCUGACAAUGGGUGCUCAGUCACCAGUGAGGAGCUCCUGUGCUUCAUUCAGUCUGCAACUAUGGGAUGAUUCACCCUCUCCACCGUAAGAAUGCUUUUAUUUUUUUGUGGGGAUCUAUCCUAUCUCCUGUCUUCAUAUGGGCUUACGCUUAAUGAAGAUGCUUCACAUCGAUGGAGUCUAAUCAGCAAAACUCUCUCUGUUGCUUACCUCAGUAAAUUUUCUUAUUCACCUUCA